ACGAACGCUGGCGGCGUGCUUAACACAUGCAAGUCGAACGGAAAGGCCCCCUUGUGGGGUACUCGAGUGGCGAACGGGUGAGUAACACGUGAGUAACCUACCCUUGACUUUGGGAUAACUUCAGGAAACUGGGGCUAAUACCGGAUAGGAGCUCCUGCUGCAUGGUGGGGGUUGGAAAGUUUCGGCGGUUGGGGAUGGACUCGCGGCUUAUCAGCUUGUUGGUGGGGUAGUGGCUCACCAAGGCUUUGACGGGUAGCCGGCCUGAGAGGGUGACCGGCCACAUUGGGACUGAGAUACGGCCCAGACUCCUACGGGAGGCAGCAGUGGGGAAUAUUGCACAAUGGGCGGAAGCCUGAUGCAGCAACGCCGCGUGCGGGAUGACGGCCUUCGGGUUGUAAACCGCUUUCGCCUGUGACGAAGCGUGAGUGACGGUAGUGGGUAAAGAAGCACCGGCUAACUACGUG
RNAcentral lists this ribosomal RNA (464 nucleotides) under uncultured bacterium. Its description in RNAcentral is "partial 16S ribosomal RNA". It matches the Rfam family "Bacterial small subunit ribosomal RNA", at positions 29 to 507 of the family's 1533-position model. The record is from RNAcentral.